Molecule: ribosomal RNA, 253 nt
Filed under: uncultured bacterium
Lineage: Bacteria
Description: partial 16S ribosomal RNA
Rfam family: Bacterial small subunit ribosomal RNA
Source: RNAcentral
UACGUAGGGUGCAAGCGUUGUCCGGAAUUAUUGGGCGUAAAGAGCUCGUAGGCGGUUUGUCGCGUCUGCUGUGAAAAUCCAGGGCUUAACCCUGGACCUGCAGUGGGUACGGGCAGACUGGAGUGCGGUAGGGGAGAUCGGAAUUCCUGGUGUAGCGGUGAAAUGCGCAGAUAUCAGGAGGAACACCGAUGGCGAAGGCAGAUCUCUGGGCCGUAACUGACGCUGAGGAGCGAAAGCAUGGGGAGCGAACAGG